AACCUCCGCAAUGUGAGAAAUCGCGACGGGGGGAUCCCAAGUGCCAUUCUUAACGGGAUGGCUUUUCAUUAGUGUAAAGAGCUUUUGGAAUAAGGGCUGGGCAAGACCGGUGCCAGCCGCCGCGGUAACACCGGCAGCUCUAGUGGUAGCCAUUUUUAUUGGGCCUAAAGCGUUCGUAGCCGGUUUGAUAAGUCUCUGGUGAAAUCCUAUGGCUUAACUGUGGGAAUUGCUGGAGAUACUAUUAGACUUGAGGUCGGGAGAGGUUAGCGGUACUCCUAGGGUAGGGGUGAAAUCCUGUAAUCCUGGGAGGACCACCUGUGGCGAAGGCGGCUAACUGGAACGAUCCUGACGGUGAGGGACGAAAGCCAGGGGCGCGAACCGGAUUAGAUACCCGGGUAGUCCUGGCCGUAAACGAUGUGGACUGGGUGUUGGAAUGGCUUCGAGCUGUUUCAGUGCCGAAGGGAAGCUGUUAAGUCCACCGCCUGGGAAGUACGGUCGCAAGACUAAAACUUAAAGGAAGU
RNAcentral lists this ribosomal RNA (521 nucleotides) under uncultured bacterium. RNAcentral's name for it is "bacterial SSU rRNA". It matches the Rfam family "Archaeal small subunit ribosomal RNA", at positions 345 to 866 of the family's 1478-position model. The record is from RNAcentral.